Molecule: ribosomal RNA, 465 nt
Filed under: Vreelandella stevensii
Lineage: Bacteria; Pseudomonadati; Pseudomonadota; Gammaproteobacteria; Oceanospirillales; Halomonadaceae
Description: partial 16S ribosomal RNA
Rfam family: Bacterial small subunit ribosomal RNA
Source: RNAcentral
CCUACGGAGGGCUGCAGUGGGGAAUAUUGGACAAUGGGGGGAACCCUGAUCCAGCCAUGCCGCGUGUGUGAAGAAGGCCCUCGGGUUGUAAAGCACUUUCAGUGAGGAAGAACGCCUGGUGGUUAAUACCCAUCAGGAAAGACAUCACUCACAGAAGAAGCACCGGCUAACUCCGUGCCAGCAGCCGCGGUAAUACGGAGGGUGCGAGCGUUAAUCGGAAUUACUGGGCGUAAAGCGCGCGUAGGUGGCUUGAUAAGCCGGUUGUGAAAGCCCCGGGCUCAACCUGGGAACGACAUCCGGGACUGUCAAGCUAGAGUGCAGGAGAGGAAGGUAGAAUUCCCGGUGUAGCGGUGAAAUGCGUAGAGAUCGGGAGGAAUACCAGUGGCGAAGGCGGCCUUCUGGACUGACACUGACACUGAGGUGCGAAAGCGUGGGUAGCAAACAGGAUUAGAUACCCCAGUAGUC